This 967-nucleotide ribosomal RNA is filed under the name Hydrosmecta valdieriana. RNAcentral's name for it is "SSU rRNA". It matches the Rfam family "Eukaryotic small subunit ribosomal RNA", at positions 422 to 1318 of the family's 1831-position model. Lineage: Eukaryota; Metazoa; Arthropoda; Insecta; Coleoptera; Staphylinidae. The record is from RNAcentral.
AAGGCAGCAGGCGCGCAAAUUACCCACUCCCAGCACGGGGAGGUAGUGACGAAAAAUAACGAUACGGGACUCAUCCGAGGCCCCGUAAUCGGAAUGAGUACAAUUUAAAACUUUUCCCGAGGAUCAAUUGGAGGGUAAGUCUGGUGCCAGCAGCCGCGGUAAUUCCAGCUCCAAUAGCGUAUAUUAAAGUUGUUGCGGUUAAAAAGCUCGUAGUCGAAUCUGUGUCCCGCGCCGCUGGUUCAUCGCUCGCGGUGUUUAACUGGCGUGUCUCGCGGGACGUCCUGCCGGUGGGCGCUCGUGUCGUUUCGGCGGUGUGAGGCCCUACUCGUAGCCGCUUCGCGCGGUUGCGAAUCCCAUCGCGGUGCUCUUUAUUGAGUGUCGAGGUGGGCCGGCACGUUUACUUUGAACAAAUUAGAGUGCUUAAAGCAGGCCAAUUUUGCCUGAAUAUUGUGUGCAUGGAAUAAUGGAAUAGGACCUCGGUUCUAUUUUGUUGGUUUUCGGAACCCCGAGGUAAUGAUUAAUAGGAACGGAUGGGGGCAUUCGUAUUGCGACGUUAGAGGUGAAAUUCUUGGAUCGUCGCAAGACGGACAGAAGCGAAAGCAUUUGCCAAAAACGCUUUCAUUGAUCAAGAACGAAAGUUAGAGGUUCGAAGGCGAUCAGAUACCGCCCUAGUUCUAACCAUAAACGAUGCCAGCUAGCGAUCCGCCGACGUUCCUCCGAUGACUCGGCGGGCAGCUUCCGGGAAACCAAAGCUUUUGGGUUCCGGGGGAAGUAUGGUUGCAAAGCUGAAACUUAAAGGAAUUGACGGAAGGGCACCACCAGGAGUGGAGCCUGCGGCUUAAUUUGACUCAACACGGGACACCUCACCAGGCCCGGACACCGGAAGGAUUGACAGAUUGAUAGCUCUUUCUUGAUUCGGUGGGUGGUGGUGCAUGGCCGUUCUUAGUUGGUGGAGCGAUUUGUCUGG